GGGGGGAGCAAGCGUUGUUCGGAUUUACUGGGCGUAAAGGGCGCGUAGGCGGCCACCGCAAGUCGACUGUGAAAUCUCUGGGCUUAACCCAGAACGGUCAGCCGAUACUGCGGGGCUAGAGUGCAGAAGGGGCAACUGGAAUUCUCGGUGUAGCGGUGAAAUGCGUAGAUAUCGAGAGGAACACCUGCGGCGAAGGCGGGUUGCUGGGCUGACACUGACGCUGAGGCGCGAAAGCUAGGGGAGCGAACGGGAUUAGAUACCCCGGUAGUCCUAGCCUUAAACGAUGAAUGCUUGGUGUCUGGGGUUUUAUAGUCCCGGGUGCCGUCGCUAACGCUUUAAGCAUUCCGCCUGGGGAGUACGGUCGCAAGACUG
RNAcentral lists this ribosomal RNA (372 nucleotides) under uncultured organism. RNAcentral describes it as "bacterial SSU rRNA". It matches the Rfam family "Bacterial small subunit ribosomal RNA", at positions 527 to 896 of the family's 1533-position model. The record is from RNAcentral.